AGCAGUCGCCACGGUAAUACGUAGGUGGCAAGCGUUGUUCGGAAUUACUGGGCGUAAAGCGCACGUAGGCGGCUUGGUAAGUUAGAGGUGAAAGCCCGGAGCUCAACUCCGGAAUUGCCUUUAAGACUGCCGAGCUAGUAGGUGAGAGAGGUAAGUGGAAUUCCGAGUGUAGAGGUGAAAUUCGUAGAUAUUCGGAAGAACACCAGUGGCGAAGGCGGCCAUCUGGGACAACACUGACGCUGAGGCACGAAAGCGUGGGGAGCAAACAGGAUUAGAUACCCAAGUAGUCCCUGUCUCUUAUAC
Molecule: ribosomal RNA, 303 nt
Filed under: uncultured bacterium
Lineage: Bacteria
Description: partial 16S ribosomal RNA
Rfam family: Bacterial small subunit ribosomal RNA
Source: RNAcentral